ACUGUCUCUUAAUUAAAAAUAAAAUUUAAUUUUUUAAUUAAAAAGUUAAAAUAUUUUAAAAAGACGAGAAGACCCUAUAGAGUUUUAUAAAUAAAUUAAUUGAGAUUAUUAAAUAAAAUUAAAACUGAUUUAUUUAUUAUAUUGGGGUGAUAGAAAAAUAUAUUUAACUUUUUUUUAAAAAAAACAUUUAUAAGUGAUUAAAUGAUCCAAUAUUAUUGAUUAUAAGAAAAAAUUACCUUAGGGAUAACAGCGUAAUUUUUUUUUUUA
This 267-nucleotide ribosomal RNA is filed under the name Sesamia sp. SEKEG3816. Its description in RNAcentral is "partial 16S large subunit ribosomal RNA". Lineage: Eukaryota; Metazoa; Arthropoda; Insecta; Lepidoptera; Noctuidae. The record is from RNAcentral.